This 1287-nucleotide ribosomal RNA is filed under the name metagenome. RNAcentral's name for it is "bacterial SSU rRNA". It matches the Rfam family "Bacterial small subunit ribosomal RNA", at positions 242 to 1520 of the family's 1533-position model. The record is from RNAcentral.
UAGCUAGUUGGUGAGGUAACGGCUUACCAAGGCGACGAUCUGUAGCGGGUCUGAGAGGAUGAUCCGCCACACUGGAACUGAGAGACGGUCCAGACUCCUACGGGAGGCAGCAGUGGGGAAUUUUGGACAAUGGGGGCAACCCUGAUCCAGCCAUGCCGCGUGAGUGAAGAAGGCCUUCGGGUUGUAAAGCUCUUUCGGCCGGGAAGAAAUCGCAUGGGCCAAUACCCUGUGUGGAUGACGGUACCGGAAUAAGAAGCACCGGCUAACUACGUGCCAGCAGCCGCGGUAAUACGUAGGGUGCGAGCGUUAAUCGGAAUUACUGGGCGUAAAGCGUGCGCAGGCGGUUUUGUAAGACAGGCGUGAAAUCCCCGGGCUCAACCUGGGAACUGCGUUUGUGACUGCAAGGCUAGAGUACGGCAGAGGGGGGUGGAAUUCCACGUGUAGCAGUGAAAUGCGUAGAGAUGUGGAGGAACACCAAUGGCGAAGGCAGCCCCCUGGGUCGAUACUGACGCUCAUGCACGAAAGCGUGGGUAGCAAACAGGAUUAGAUACCCUGGUAGUCCACGCCCUAAACUAUGUCAACUAGGUGUUGGGUGGGUAAAACCAUUUAGUACCGUAGCUAACGCGUGAAGUUGACCGCCUGGGGAGUACGGCCGCAAGGUUAAAACUCAAAGGAAUUGACGGGGACCCGCACAAGCGGUGGAUGAUGUGGAUUAAUUCGAUGCAACGCGAAAAACCUUACCUACCCUUGACAUGCCAGGAACUUGCCAGAGAUGGCUUGGUGCCCGAAAGGGAGCCUGGACACAGGUGCUGCAUGGCUGUCGUCAGCUCGUGUCGUGAGAUGUUGGGUUAAGUCCCGCAACGAGCGCAACCCUUGUCGUUAAUUGCCAUCAUUUAGUUGGGCACUUUAGCGAGACUGCCGGUGACAAACCGGAGGAAGGUGGGGAUGACGUCAAGUCCUCAUGGCCCUUAUGGGUAGGGCUUCACACGUCAUACAAUGGUCGGUACAAAGGGUCGCCAAGCCGCGAGGUGGAGCCAAUCCCAGAAAGCCGAUCGUAGUCCGGAUUGCAGGCUGCAACUCGCCUGCAUGAAGUCGGAAUCGCUAGUAAUCGUGGAUCAGCAUGUCACGGUGAAUACGUUCCCGGGUCUUGUACACACCGCCCGUCACACCAUGGGAGCGGGUUCCGCCAGAAGUAGGUAGCCUAACCGCAAGGAGGGCACUUACCACGGCGGGGUUCGUGACUGGGGUGAAGUCGUAACAAGGUAGCCGUAGGGGAACCUGCGGCUG